Molecule: ribosomal RNA, 445 nt
Filed under: uncultured bacterium
Lineage: Bacteria
Description: bacterial SSU rRNA
Rfam family: Bacterial small subunit ribosomal RNA
Source: RNAcentral
ACCAGACUCCUACGGGAGGCAGCAGUGGGGAAUAUUGCACAAUGGGGGAAACCCUGAUGCAGCGACGCCGCGUGAGUGAAGAAGUAUUUCGGUAUGUAAAGCUCUAUCAGCAGGGAAGAAAAUGACGGUACCUGAUUAAGAAGCCCCGGCUAACUACGUGCCAGCAGCCGCGGUAAUACGUAGGGGGCAAGCGUUAUCCGGAUUUACUGGGUGUAAAGGGAGCGUAGACGGUGAUGCAAGUCAGAAGUGAAAGCCCGGGGCUCAACUCCGGGACUGCUUGUGAAACUGUGUAACUGGAGUGCAGGAGAGGUAAGCGGAAUUCCUGGUGUAGCGGUGAAAUGCGUAGAUAUCAGGAGGAACACCAGUGGCGAAGGCGGCUUACUGGACUGUAACUGACGUUGAGGCUCGAAAGCGUGGGGAGCAAACAGGAUUAGAUACCCUCGUA